GACGAACGCUGGCGGCGUGCCUAAUACAUGGAAGUCGAGCGAAGUUUUUCUGGUGCUUGCACUAGAAAAACUUAGCGGCGAACGGGUGAGUAACACGUAAAGAACCUGCCUCAUAGACUGGGACAACUAUUGGAAACGAUAGCUAAUACCGGAUAACAGUAUUUCUCGCAUGAGAGAUAUUUAAAAGUUGGUUAUGCUAACACUAUGAGAUGGCUUUGCGGUGCAUUAGCUAGUUGGUGGGGUAAAGGCCCACCAAGGCGACGAUGCAUAGCCGACCUGAGAGGGUGAUCGGCCACACUGGGACUGAGACACGGCCCAGACUCCUACGGGAGGCAGCAGUAGGGAAUCUUCCGCAAUGGGCGAAAGCCUGACGGAGCAACGCCGCGUGAGUGAAGAAGGAUUUCGGUUCGUAAAGCUCUGUUGUUAGGGAAGAAUGGAUAUGUAGUAACUAUACAUGUAAGAGACGGUACCUAACCAGAAAGCCACGGCUAACUACGUG
This 499-nucleotide ribosomal RNA is filed under the name uncultured bacterium. RNAcentral's name for it is "partial 16S ribosomal RNA". It matches the Rfam family "Bacterial small subunit ribosomal RNA", at positions 28 to 507 of the family's 1533-position model. The record is from RNAcentral.